ACUAUACGUUGUAACUGCUGCUUUGCUAGCUCAAAAAACUAGGUUCAAUGAAUGUAGCCAAGAUAUAGUGAUAUACAUCAGUUGACGUUACUUAUCUGAGUAAAUUGUUAGUUGGUGUAGUUGUCGUGUAUCAGUCAGUGACACCCUUUAACGCACACUAGUUCUUGCGUUCCUGAAAACUGACAAUUCCAGCUAAGACCUUCCUUCCUCUUUUAAAACGCAAGUCUUGCCCUUCACACGACCACACAACGCAGAGAAACAGAUAGUGAGAGCUUUUGAUAGGGAAAAUAGUUUGUAUUGGGGAUCGUUACUGGUUCAUAUUAUCAUUUGAAAAGAUGUUUCCAAGAAGAACAUGGUCGCAAUUGUUGUUGCUGAAGUUAAUCCGACCGAAAGUAGUAUAAAUGACGGGCAUGUGGUUCGCGAGAAGCUGGUUCUUGUUGUUGCAAUUGUUCUUCAUGAACCAACUUCUCGCGAAACGCUUGUCUCAACUAAUCCUGCUCCGUAUCCAUGUCGGGUUUUGGCCCAACCACAGCAGCAUGAUGUACAAUUAUGUUGGAGAUACAUGGAUUAAUAUUCUUUUGUUUAAAGGUGAUCGGGUCAAAUCCUACGUGAGUGAUUCAUGCACAUCUUCAGAAUAUAUACCACCAUAUCAUGUUAAUUCAUUCAAUUAAUUUCUUGCUGGUUUAACAUUUGCGCAAGUUCGUCAAGCUAGAAGGGGUGUUGUGUGACAAAUAAUACAUUUAACAAUGCACAAUCUCGUCGGUUUGCGUCCAAAAUUACCUUAUCAUCCUUUGCAGAAUUUUGGGGUUGAAUUGUUCGUUGUACUGCGAGUUAUAAAAUAUCGUAACCAAACAACAUAGAACACCGCGGUCAACCUUGGCUUUAUAGAUGUAAGAUUUAGUAAAAAUAAUCUAGAUGAUGUCUAAGAUGACGAGGAUUAUCAAACAACGGAGUAUAAUAACAGCAACAUUGGUACGGCAGCGACUCGAGCCAACAAUUAAGGUCACAUCAACGUUGUUGUUAUCAUUCACCGUUGUUUAAUGAUCUUCCUCAACUUGAGUCCUUGCCAUACAAACGUUGUUGUUUUCAUGCUCCAUUGUUUGAUGAUCCUCUUCAUUUUGGACACCAUCUAGAUUAUUGGUAUUAUGUCUUACAUUCAUAAACGCCAACGUUGGCCGCGAUGUUCUCUGUUGUUUGAUUAAGAUACUUUAUAACUCGUGGUACAAUGAACAAUUCAACCCCAAAAUCUUGCAAAGGAUCAUAAGGUAAUCUUGGGUGCAACUAGACGAGAUUGUACAGUGUUGGAUGCAUUAUUUGUCACAUAACAUCCCUUCUAGCUCGAAGAACUUGCAAGAUGUCAAACCAACAAGAAAUUGAUUGAAUGAAUUAACAUGAUGUGGUGGUACCUAUGAAUAGUCUUCGAUUUGAAUAUCAUGGAUAUAUAUUCGAUAUCAAUUUAUUAACUUAUUUUUAAGUGUAAAAAUAUCAUUAUAUAUCCCCAAUGUUAAUAUGAAUGGAUAGUUUCUUUUUGAGCUUA
This is a long non-coding RNA of Pyrus x bretschneideri (Chinese white pear), 1537 nucleotides long. RefSeq lists it as uncharacterized. The record is from RefSeq and is a predicted model, not a curated record. The transcript has 2 exons. Lineage: Eukaryota; Viridiplantae; Streptophyta; Magnoliopsida; Rosales; Rosaceae.